CAGACGGUAGUUAAAUUAUAAUCGUAGCUUUGGAAGUUACAGUUGAGUGCAUACUCCUGUCUGA
RNAcentral lists this transfer RNA (64 nucleotides) under Isotomurus maculatus. RNAcentral's name for it is "tRNA-Pro". The record is from RNAcentral. Lineage: Eukaryota; Metazoa; Arthropoda; Collembola; Entomobryomorpha; Isotomidae.